GCUGAAGCCACCGCCAGGACAAGCAGCAUGUAAAGACUCUGAAGAGCAAAUCAAUUCCACCAGCUAUGGACAGAUGUACAUGUCUCUGCAGUAACCUAAGUCUGAACAUAUUUAGUCCCUGCGGCGAGCUCCUCGGCCAGCGAGGAAGAACGACCACCACUCGAGGAUUCUUCUCAGAUCACACUUUAUUGGAGCGCCUCUUGAUUAAGGGAGAGCUGGAGGUGAGGGGCCCUGAGGACUGAAAUGCAGCUGCUUAUAUGAGGAUUCAAGCAAAUGGGUCAGUCCGUGAUUUGAUCGCGCCAGAAUGCGAGCACGGGGAGCCACGGGAUAGGCUGAGGACAUGGAGUCAAUUACCAUACUCUCGCAUGCGCGGACCUUAGGACACGUAGUCCUAGAAGCAUAGCCAAUUAUGGAGUUGUUUACAGCUGGGCUGUCAGGAAGUCAACGCCAUCUUAGAAUGGCGGCUCCCUACAAGUCCCCAAAAUGACACUAUCCCAUGAGCUUGAGCCAAUGUGUCUAGGAGCAGCAGGGGGUAUUGUAGGUGAGUUUUCAUGGUCCUGCCUGGCCCAAGGUCAUGAUA
Molecule: non-coding RNA, 580 nt
Organism: Peromyscus maniculatus bairdii (prairie deer mouse)
Lineage: Eukaryota; Metazoa; Chordata; Mammalia; Rodentia; Cricetidae
Source: RefSeq, a predicted model, not a curated record